RNAcentral lists this transfer RNA (74 nucleotides) under Otolemur garnettii (small-eared galago). It matches the Rfam family "tRNA". Rfam says of the family: Transfer RNA (tRNA) molecules are approximately 80 nucleotides in length. The record is from Rfam by way of RNAcentral. Lineage: Eukaryota; Metazoa; Chordata; Mammalia; Primates; Galagidae.
GCGCCUGUGGCUCAAAGGGGUAGGGCGCCAGGCCUAUAUGCCGGAGGUGGCUGGUUCAAACCCAGCCAUGGCCA